This 277-nucleotide ribosomal RNA is filed under the name Sarcocystis dispersa. RNAcentral describes it as "partial small subunit ribosomal RNA". The stretch from base 95 to 277 matches the Rfam family "Eukaryotic small subunit ribosomal RNA", at positions 738 to 921 of the family's 1831-position model. Lineage: Eukaryota; Apicomplexa; Conoidasida; Eucoccidiorida; Sarcocystidae. The record is from RNAcentral.
CUGGAAGCAGCCAGUCCGCCCUUUGUGGGUGUGCACUUGGUGAAUUCUGGCAUCCUCCUGAUUGGUGUUACCAUCACUUGAUUGUGUUGGUGGCAGCUGUCAGGACUGUUACUUUGAGAAAAUUAGAGUGUUUCAAGCAGGCUUGUUGCCUUGAAUACUGCAGCAUGGAAUAACAAGAUAGGAUUUCGGUUCUAUUUUGUUGGUUUCUAGGACUGAAGUAAUGAUUAAUAGGGACAGUUGGGGGCAUUCGUAUUUAACUGUCAGAGGUGAAAUUCUU